RNAcentral lists this ribosomal RNA (699 nucleotides) under uncultured Pseudomonadota bacterium. RNAcentral's name for it is "bacterial SSU rRNA". It matches the Rfam family "Bacterial small subunit ribosomal RNA", at positions 9 to 754 of the family's 1533-position model. The record is from RNAcentral. Lineage: Bacteria; Pseudomonadati; Pseudomonadota.
AAGUUUGAUCAUGGCUCAGAUUGAACGCUGGCGGCAUGCCUAACACAUGCAAGUCGAACGAACUCUUCGGAGUUAGUGGCGCACGGGUGCGUAACGCGUGGGAAUCUGCCCCUUGGUUCGGAAUAACAGUUAGAAAUGACUGCUAAUACCGGAUGAUGUCUUCGGACCAAAGAUUUAUCGCCAAGGGAUGAGCCCGCGUAGGAUUAGGUAGUUGGUGGGGUAAAGGCCUACCAAGCCGACGAUCCUUAGCUGGUCUGAGAGGAUGAUCAGCCACACUGGGACUGAGACACGGCCCAGACUCCUACGGGAGGCAGCAGUGGGGAAUAUUGGACAAUGGGGGAAACCCUGAUCCAGCAAUGCCGCGUGAGUGAUGAAGGCCUUAGGGUCGUAAAGCUCUUUUACCAGGGAUGAUAAUGACAGUACCUGGAGAAUAAGCUCCGGCUAACUCCGUGCCAGCAGCCGCGGUAAUACGGAGGGAGCUAGCGUUGUUCGGAAUUACUGGGCGUAAAGCGUGCGUAGGCGGUUAUUCAAGUCAGAGGUGAAAGCCCGGGGCUCAACCCCGGAACGGCCUUUGAAACUAGAUAACUAGAAUCUUGGAGAGGUCAGUGGAAUUCCGAGUGUAGAGGUGAAAUUCGUAGAUAUUCGGAAGAACACCAGUGGCGAAGGCGACUGACUGGACAAGUAUUGACGCUGAGGUAC